This 172-nucleotide ribosomal RNA is filed under the name uncultured bacterium. Its description in RNAcentral is "partial 16S ribosomal RNA". It matches the Rfam family "Bacterial small subunit ribosomal RNA", at positions 335 to 524 of the family's 1533-position model. The record is from RNAcentral. RNAcentral also lists the same sequence under 1 other name.
ACUCCUACGGGAGGCAGCAGUGGGGAAUAUUGCACAAUGGGCGAAAGCCUGAUGCAGCAACGCCGCGUGGAGGAUGAAGGCCUUCGGGUUGUAAACUCUUGUCUUCUGGGACGAUAAUGACGGUACCAGAGGAGGAAGCCACGGCUAACUACGUGCCAGCAGCCGCGGUAAU